Molecule: ribosomal RNA, 549 nt
Filed under: uncultured Glomeromycotina
Lineage: Eukaryota; Fungi; Glomeromycota
Description: SSU rRNA
Rfam family: Eukaryotic small subunit ribosomal RNA
Source: RNAcentral
UUGGAGGGCAAGUCUGGUGCCAGCAGCCGCGGUAAUUCCAGCUCCGAUAGCGUAUAUUAAAGUUGUUGCAGUUAAAAAGCUCGUAGUUGAAUUUCGGGAUCAAUUUAUCGGUCGUGCCUCUGGUAUGCACUGGUAUUAUUGAUUUCUACCUUCUGACGAACCAUGAUGUCAUUAAUUUGGUGUCAUGGGGAAUCAGGACUGUUACUUUGAAAAAAUUAGAGUGUUUAAAGCAAGCACACGCUUGAAUACAUUAGCAUGGAAUAAUGAAAUAGGACGUUUGACCCUAUUUUGUUGGUUUCUAGGAUCGACGUAAUGAUUAAUAGGGAUAGUUAGGGGCAUUAGUAUUCAAUUGUCAGAGGUGAAAUUCUUGGAUUUAUUGAAGACUAACUACUGCGAAAGCAUUUGCCAAGGAUGUUUUCAUUAAUCAAGAACGAAAGUUAGGGGAUCGAAGACGAUCAGAUACCGUCGUAGUCUUAACCAUAAACUAUGCCGACUAGGGAUCGGAUGAUGUUAAUUUUUUAAUGACUCAUUCGGCGCCUUACGGGAAAC